RNAcentral lists this ribosomal RNA (254 nucleotides) under uncultured bacterium. RNAcentral describes it as "partial 16S ribosomal RNA". It matches the Rfam family "Bacterial small subunit ribosomal RNA", at positions 524 to 776 of the family's 1533-position model. The record is from RNAcentral.
UACGGGGGGAGCAAGCGUUGUUCGGAUUUACUGGGCGUAAAGGGCGCGUAGGCGGCCAGCACACGUCAGUUGUGAAAUCUCCGGGCUUAACUCGGAAAGGUCAACUGAUACUGUGCGGCUAGAGUGCGGAAGGGGCAACUGGAAUUCUCGGUGUAGCGGUGAAAUGCGUAGAUAUCGAGAGGAACACCUGCGGCGAAGGCGGGUUGCUGGGCCGACACUGACGCUGAUGCGCGAAAGCCAGGGGAGCGAAUGGG